UUCGGUGGCCAUGGCGGAGGGGGAACACCCGGUCCCAUCCCGAACCCGGAAGUUAAGCCCUCCAGCGCCGAUGGUACUGCCCGGGCGACCGGGUGGGAGAGUAGGUCGCCGCCGAGA
This 117-nucleotide ribosomal RNA is filed under the name Actinomycetota bacterium. The record is from RNAcentral. Lineage: Bacteria; Bacillati; Actinomycetota.